Long non-coding RNA from Polypterus senegalus (gray bichir), 214 nucleotides. RefSeq lists it as uncharacterized. The transcript is spliced from 3 exons. NCBI's taxonomy places the organism in Eukaryota, Metazoa, Chordata, Cladistia, Polypteriformes, Polypteridae. The record is from RefSeq and is a predicted model, not a curated record.
CUAUUUAAGGCCAGGCAUAGCACUGUGGAGAAACAGUUGGACCUUGUGAUGGCACUGAAUUAUCCUUCUUUGUUACUUGCUGGUGAACCGUGGCUCCUUGUCAGAGACCAAAUAAAUAUUGGGCAACCCAUUGUAUGUUUGAACCCUACUCAAAAGUGACUUGAGGAUCAACUCUCGCCAGUGGGCAGCUGUUCUCAUCCCUACCACCAUCGCC